ACUCCUACGGGAGGCAGCAGUGGGGAAUAUUGCUCAAUGGGCGCAAGCCUGAAGCAGCGACGCCGCGUGAGGGAUGAAGGCCUUCGGGUUGUAAACCUCUUUCAGCUCCGAAGAAGCGAAAGUGACGGUAGGAGCAAAAGAAGCACCGGCUAACUACGUGCCAGCAGCCGCGGUAAUACGUAGGGUGCAAGCGUUGUCCGGAUUUAUUGGGCGUAAAGAGCUCGUAGGCGGUCUGUCGCGUCUGCUGUGAAAACUCGGGGCUUAACCCCGGGCCUGCAGUGGGUACGGGCAGACUAGAGUGCGGUAGGGGAGACUGGAAUUCCUGGUGUAGCGGUGAAAUGCGCAGAUAUCAGGAGGAACACCGGUGGCGAAGGCGGGUCUCUGGGCCGUAACUGACGCUGAGGAGCGAAAGCAUGGGUAGCGAACAGGAUUAGAUACCCUGGUAGUCCAUGCCGUAAACGUUGGGCGCUAGGUGUGGGGCUCAUUCCACGAGUUCCGUGCCGCAGCAAACGCAUUAAGCGCCCCGCCUGGGGAGUACGGCCGCAAGGCUAAAACUCAAAGGAAUUGACGGGGCCCCGCACAAGCGGCGGAGCAUGCGGAUUAAUUCGAUGCAACGCGAAGAACCUUACCAAGGCUUGACAUGCAGGGAAAUCUCACAGAGAUGUGAGGUCCGCAAGGGUCCUGCGCAGGUGGUGCAUGGUUGUCGUCAGCUCGUGUCGUGAGAUGUUGGGUUAAGUCCCGCAACGAGCGCAACCCUCGUUCUAUGUUGCCAGCGGAUAAUGCCGGGGACUCAUAGGAGACUGCCGGGGUCAACUCGGAGGAAGGUGGGGAUGACGUCAAAUCAUCAUGCCCCUUAUGUCUUGGGCUUCACGCAUGCUACAAUGGCCAGUACAAAGGGCUGCGAGACCGUAAGGUGGAGCGAAUCCCAAAAAGCUGGUCUCAGUUCGGAUUGGGGUCUGCAACUCGACCCCAUGAAGUCGGAGUCGCUAGUAAUCGCAGAUCAGCAACGCUGCGGUGAAUACGUUCCCGGGGC
This 1033-nucleotide ribosomal RNA is filed under the name uncultured bacterium. RNAcentral describes it as "bacterial SSU rRNA". It matches the Rfam family "Bacterial small subunit ribosomal RNA", at positions 335 to 1380 of the family's 1533-position model. The record is from RNAcentral.